GAAUCUGACAAGAGAGCAAAGCAGCCAAAGCUCCACCCAGCACUUCUGAGACUCACCACACCUCUGACCUCACCAGGGGCAGUGGUGGUCCUCUGAAGAACCUUCAUCUUUUGGCCCCUACCUUGGUCACACUCUAGUGCUCUUGUCCCCAUCUCUACCACAGUAGUCACCAUACCUCAUCUGGACCCUCACUCUGCCCACCUGGAAGAGCCAGCCCAGGACAGCAAGCAGAAGCAGCUUGUUUAGGAAACACAUCUCCCCUUCAUUGUCCUGAGAUAAGACCAAGCUCCUAAAAGGCAAAGGAGAGAGAGUGAUUUGCUCUUCUGGGAAGCCAAACCUCUCCCACCCUGACCCUGCCUUUGCAAGACACAGGGGAACUUACCUGCUGGCACUUAGGAUGAAGUCCCUGAAGAAGCCUUGACAGCCUGGAAAGGUGGGGGGUGGACAGGGCCCCCCACUGCUCUGAGGAGCCACAAGUCGUUCCUGUAGUCGCCGCAGCCGCCCCAGCUUGUCAGCUCCUAGCAUACUCAACACAUCUGGGGCCUCACCCAAGACAGUGCCCCCAGCACCACCAGGGCUCUGACACAUCUGGGGUGAUGGAAAGGAAGGAAAUUGAAAACAAGUGAAAAGGACUGACCAAAAUAAGCACAAAGUAAUGAACAUUUAUGAAAUGCCAACUCCAUGUUAGGCACUUUGGACAGUUUUUGAGGGAGGAAUUAUAUUCCUCUUCUAAAGGUGAAGAAACUGAAAUUGCAAGUAUAACCAUGUGCCUAGAAUUGCUGGAGUUAGGAUUUGAAGAGACCUGACUACCAAGCUCAGCUUUCUACCACAGCACCAAACAAGAAAAAGGAGGUAACAUUUGAGGCCCACCUGGGCAACUUAGUGAGACCCUAUUUCAAGAUAAAAAAAUAAAAGGGCUGGGGACAUAGCUUAGUGGUAGAGCAGUCCUGGGUUCAAUCCCCAGAACCACACACACACACAGAAUGAAAUAGAUCAGGGAAGGGCAAAAGGUGCAGGGCACAUCAGAGAGCAUUCUGUUUUUUUCUCUGCCACCUGAGUUUAACUGCCACCUAAGGGCCUACUUGGCUAUCCACACUGUCCAGGGUGCCAUCCUUUACUUGGCUGCUUACAAUACCCGCAGUUUGCUGUAGAUUAAUUUCUUGAGAAGCUAUUACCUGGAGAAGUUGUUUUUGGAAAAGCCGUACAAAGUGGCUAUGGCUGCAGGCCGCAGACAGUUGACCCAUCAUGGCUCUGAGGAACAAGAAGCAGGUGUAGAGUGUGUGGGAAGGAAGUAAGACAAAGAUCUGAGCAAGCAAGCCAAUCCUCGGGCUUUUCAGCUGUUUACCAGGUACUUGAACAGACCUUUUCCAGAGCUGGCCUGCAUAGGGGCAUGGGAGAAGGUAAAGGACACCCUCAGCACUAAGAUCCCUCAAGGCUAAAGAUACACUUAACAAAACAAGAAAUGCCACCUCUUAAAUCUUCAGGCCACACUAAGUGCCAGUGUACUUCAAGACCAAUGUGGACUAAAGGUAUGUGGACCAUAUACCUUGACCACUUCAAGGUAUGUGGUUAGAAAAUACUCUUUCUGCAGCCUAGUCAUCUAUCUAUGCAAAAUUAUCAGACGUGCCCAAAUUAGAGGCGGAAGUCUAGCCAAUGAUUUGGUCCAAAAUUCAAGCAACCUUGAUUAAGAGCUUUGCACUCUCCCAUUUGCCAUUAUAGAACAAGUGCAAGGUACUUCUGAGUGGAAGCAGCUGGAAAGAAAUCCCUUUUGAGUAGAGGCAGAGUUGUCAAUAGCUAGAGAUUAAGGAGGAAAAAGAAUAUAUAGCUUUGGGCUGGAAGGAGUGGUGGAAAGCUUUCUUCCAGUCAGCUUACCAAGCAUCACUGAGAUGCCAUCAGAAGCAAGAAAAAGGGACCAGCAUUUGAGUACCCACCUGAUCCUACUGCCCAAGCCCUUCUCAAAAUCCCAGCCAGGCUCCUCAUGGCGAUCUUCCCACUCUCGAAGAACCUCAUAGAACACAUCUCUGACAGACACACAAGAAUACCCGAUCAGCUGCAGCACAGCCAUCUCUAACUCAUUUCCAGUGAAGUAUUCCCUAGUUUGGAAGACUGAGGACAGCCCUGUCCACAGUCCUUCCUUAAGCUCCAAAGUUCUUUAUGUGAUGGUAAUGUUACAGACCCAGCAGCAGCACUCAUUGGUCUCACAUACAUCCGUGAGCAGUGAAAGUGAAUCCUGGCAUACUCCUGUCUGAGUAGUUUAUACACCUGUGAGAGGGCUGUCAAACUCAAGGGUUCAAGUCCAUGAGAACGAAACAGAAUGAAACAACUGGCCCUCAUGAUGGCUGUUAAUUAGAGCCUGGGGGUACUGACCUACUACUUGUUAGUGCCAGCCUCCUAUUUUCUAUGAAAACAAGACAGCUGCCUAUUACAGAGAAAAUGUUGCCUUAUUCCUUCCCCUCAAUAUUCCCUUUCCAUUUCACCUCUGUUUUUUAAAAGUAUGAAAGGCUCGGUCACUGGAGAAGUUGGCACGAUUGUCAGUUUCUGGCUGAAAGGAGACAGCUUGAGCCGAGGGUGGCAUUGCCAGAGAGACCUAAAAUAUGGCAGAGACAUCAGAAACUUUAUAAAGCCUGUGGAAGUCAUGCUCAGAAGACUUUACUCCCUUAUUGUUACCCAGAAUUAGCUCAUAUGACAAUUAAGUGUCAUGAGCAGAUUGCCUGAAUUCAUGAAAGUUAGGAAUGGUCAGGUCCAGGUUAGUAGUCAUCUAAGCUGGGGUCACACUACCUUGGCAACACUGCCCUCGUAAGCAGCUCGAAGUCGGCCUUGAAGAGCUGGUGAGAAGCACAGUAGCCGUUCAUUCUCAGCCAGCAGCUUUAAGGUCCCUUUGUCCAAGGAGGAAAGAACCCUACAGGGAGAAGAGCACAAAUAACUGAGACUGAGACACAGACUGCAAACAGGAAGCAGGCACCCUAUUAAAGUGUAUUGGGAGCAUGGAGCAGAUGUGUAAGUCCAGAAAUGUACAGUAGGGUUAUGGGUCAAAGACCAAGACAACAGAGGCAAAGGACAAGGAAAUUAGACCUUACAGUGCAGAGAUCAAGAGAGCAGGCCAGGAAUAUUAGCCAUAAAUCCAAAGGUCAGCUGUUGAGUAUAUUAGAUUCUUUUAGGGGAGACAAACUCAACCUUGACACAAAAUUAUAGUUAGGAUAAGGUCCAGGACCACUGUACCUGUUAAGUACAAGUAUAUAACCCAAGGGGUCAGAGAAUCAGACAAACAAUUAAAAUAAAGGAAACUCACUGAAAUUGGUGCUGUAAAACCUGCACUGCAAAGAACACACAAUCAUGGAUGCUCUGGAAUAGUGGGCUUUCCAGGGAAUCUAGAAAGAUAGUAACAAACUGUUAAGGGCUAUCCCAUCUGUAGUCUCCAUUUCUAGAAUAUGAGGUAUCUCACUGAUGUAGAGCACCUUGACUCAGUUCAAGAUCACUGUUCUUGGCAGCCACCAUCCUUCGGGCAGUAAGGAGCUGAAAGACGAAGAAAAGCUCCAAGAAGAGGUUUGGGACCAGGUUCUCUGGAUAUAAAAAGAAAUCCCUUAGUACUGGAA
Ictidomys tridecemlineatus (thirteen-lined ground squirrel) is the source of this 3593-nucleotide non-coding RNA. The record is from RefSeq and is a predicted model, not a curated record. Lineage: Eukaryota; Metazoa; Chordata; Mammalia; Rodentia; Sciuridae.